This 167-nucleotide ribosomal RNA is filed under the name Asterochloris lobophora. RNAcentral describes it as "5.8S ribosomal RNA". It matches the Rfam family "5.8S ribosomal RNA". Rfam says of the family: 5.8S ribosomal RNA (5.8S rRNA) is a component of the large subunit of the eukaryotic ribosome. It is transcribed by RNA polymerase I as part of the 45S precursor that also contains 18S and 28S rRNA. Functionally, it is thought that 5.8S rRNA may be involved in ribosome translocation. The record is from RNAcentral. Lineage: Eukaryota; Viridiplantae; Chlorophyta; Trebouxiophyceae; Trebouxiales; Trebouxiaceae.
CUAACAAAGACAACUCUCAACAACGGAUAUCUUGGCUCCCGCAACGAUGAAGAACGCAGCGAAAUGCGAUACGUAGUGUGAAUUGCAGAAUUCCGUGAACCAUNGAAUCUUUGAACGCAUAUUGCGCCCCACGGCCUCGGCCCAGGGCAUGUCUGCCUCAGCGUCUG